Molecule: ribosomal RNA, 819 nt
Filed under: Triticum aestivum (bread wheat)
Lineage: Eukaryota; Viridiplantae; Streptophyta; Magnoliopsida; Poales; Poaceae
Description: partial small subunit ribosomal RNA
Source: RNAcentral
AUGGAUGAGAUUAUUGGGGAGGAACAAAGUCCUUUUGUGCCAGGACAGUUGAUCACUCACAACGUCCUAGUAGAUUAUGAAAGUGUGCAUGCAAUGAAGGAAAAGAAGCGAUGCAAACAAGCCUCAUGUGCUGUCAAACUCGACAUGUUGAAAGCUUAUGAUCGUGUCGAAUGGCAUUAUUUGGAGGCGAUGUUAGUCAGACUGGGGUUCUGUGACAAGUUCGUGCGUCUCAUUAUGAAGUGUGUCACCUCCAUCCGAUUCACGGUCAAGGCAGUAAACCGGGAGAAGAGUGCAGUUUACUUCAGUCCUAAUGUGUUACCACCUCUAAGGGCUGAGAUUAAACAGACACUAGGAAUUCUUGUGGAAGCUUUUACCGAACGCUACUUGGGUUUACCAACAGCGGUCGGCAGGAUCACAAGUGGAAGUUUCUCUCAUAUUGGUGAGAGAAGCCGGAGUAAGAUGCAAGGUUGGUUAGAAAAGAAUUUGUCAUGUGCCGGGAGGGAAGUUUUGCUCAAAUUAGUGGUCCAAGCCAUCCCUAUGUUCAGCAUGUCUUGCUUUCAACUGACCAAGGGGGUCUGCUCACAAUUAACUUCUUCCAUGGCUAAAUAUUGCUGGAGAAGUGAUAUUGACAGGAGAUCUCUUCAUUGGCUGUCUUGGAAGAAUCUCUUUGUACCGAAAGCAGAAGGAGGCAUGGGUUUUCGUGACUUUGAGCUUUUUAAUUUAGCCCUACUUGUUUCUUGGACGCUACAGCGCCUCGCUCGGCGUCUGCUACGUGGAAAGCUAUUAUUUCAGGUCGAGAUGCGUUGGAGCAAGGCUUGA